Small nucleolar RNA from Gigantopelta aegis, 74 nucleotides. RefSeq annotates it as small nucleolar RNA SNORD60. NCBI's taxonomy places the organism in Eukaryota, Metazoa, Mollusca, Gastropoda, Neomphalida, Peltospiridae. The record is from RefSeq and is a predicted model, not a curated record. The transcript has a single exon.
AGCAACUGAUGAAAACCAUUCUGACACCUCUUAUGAAAAAAUAAUGAUAUGUGUUUAUUUUGUUUCUGAUGCUG